UACGUAGGGUGCGAGCGUUGUCCGGAAUUAUUGGGCGUAAAGGGCUCGUAGGCGGUCUGUCGCGUCGAAAGUGAAAACCCAGGGCUUAACCCUGGGCCUGCUUCCGAUACGGGCAGACUAGAGGUAUGCAGGGGAGAACGGAAUUCCUGGUGUAGCGGUGAAAUGCGCAGAUAUCAGGAGGAACACCGGUGGCGACGGCGGUUCUCUGGGCCUGUACUGACGCUGAGGAACGAAAGCGUGGGGAGCGAACAGG
This 253-nucleotide ribosomal RNA is filed under the name uncultured bacterium. RNAcentral describes it as "partial 16S ribosomal RNA". It matches the Rfam family "Bacterial small subunit ribosomal RNA", at positions 524 to 776 of the family's 1533-position model. The record is from RNAcentral.